Molecule: ribosomal RNA, 1080 nt
Filed under: Acinetobacter baumannii
Lineage: Bacteria; Pseudomonadati; Pseudomonadota; Gammaproteobacteria; Moraxellales; Moraxellaceae
Description: bacterial SSU rRNA
Rfam family: Bacterial small subunit ribosomal RNA
Source: RNAcentral
GGACGGGUGAGUAAUGCUUAGGAAUCUGCCUAUUAGUGGGGGACAACAUCUCGAAAGGGAUGCUAAUACCGCAUACGUCCUACGGGAGAAAGCAGGGGAUCUUCGGACCUUGCGCUAAUAGAUGAGCCUAAGUCGGAUUAGCUAGUUGGUGGGGUAAAGGCCUACCAAGGCGACGAUCUGUAGCGGGUCUGAGAGGAUGAUCCGCCACACUGGGACUGAGACACGGCCCAGACUCCUACGGGAGGCAGCAGUGGGGAAUAUUGGACAAUGGGGGGAACCCUGAUCCAGCCAUGCCGCGUGUGUGAAGAAGGCCUUAUGGUUGUAAAGCACUUUAAGCGAGGAGGAGGCUACUUUAGUUAAUACCUAGAGAUAGUGGACGUUACUCGCAGAAUAAGCACCGGCUAACUCUGUGCCAGCAGCCGCGGUAAUACAGAGGGUGCGAGCGUUAAUCGGAUUUACUGGGCGUAAAGCGUGCGUAGGCGGCUUAUUAAGUCGGAUGUGAAAUCCCCGAGCUUAACUUGGGAAUUGCAUUCGAUACUGGUGAGCUAGAGUAUGGGAGAGGAUGGUAGAAUUCCAGGUGUAGCGGUGAAAUGCGUAGAGAUCUGGAGGAAUACCGAUGGCGAAGGCAGCCAUCUGGCCUAAUACUGACGCUGAGGUACGAAAGCAUGGGGAGCAAACAGGAUUAGAUACCCUGGUAGUCCAUGCCGUAAACGAUGUCUACUAGCCGUUGGGGCCUUUGAGGCUUUAGUGGCGCAGCUAACGCGAUAAGUAGACCGCCUGGGGAGUACGGUCGCAAGACUAAAACUCAAAUGAAUUGACGGGGGCCCGCACAAGCGGUGGAGCAUGUGGUUUAAUUCGAUGCAACGCGAAGAACCUUACCUGGCCUUGACAUACUAAAACUUUCCAGAGAUGGAUUGGUGCCUUCGGGAAUCUAGAUACUGCUGCAUGGCUGUCGUCAGCUCGUGUCGUGAGAGUUGGGUUAAGUCCCGCAACGAGCGCAACCCCUUUUCUUACUUGCCAGCAUUUCGGAUGGGACUUUAAAGGAUACUGCCAGUGACAAAUGGGGGACGUCAAUCAUCA